This is an RNA transcript of Salarias fasciatus (jewelled blenny), 2851 nucleotides long. It is a transcript of the gene named tudor domain containing 3, with no coding region annotated. The transcript has 14 exons. The record is from RefSeq and is a predicted model, not a curated record. Lineage: Eukaryota; Metazoa; Chordata; Actinopteri; Blenniiformes; Blenniidae.
UUUCGGUUGUGACGUAGGUAGCAGAGGAUCGCUCAGUACUCACAUUAGCGAGCUUUGUUAGCCGGAUAAACAUGUGUUGCAGACCGAGAUAGUCGUCAUUCAGGUGUUCCCCGUUCAAAUGCAUUAGUGUAUUCAUUUACACGUCUGCAUUUUGGAGGAAAAUGAGUGAUCUGAUAGAUUCCCUGGUCAAAGAGGGCUGGUACCUCAGCGAUGAAGGCAUCGCAGAACUCAAAGGAUCAGCUGAGAAUGUAACACACACUGACAUUAUCCGCAUUGCACUUGAUAGUGAUCUGAGGCCUGUUGGGAGAAAGUUUCUACCAUCUGAUAUCAAUAGUGGAAGAACUGAGAAGUUGGAGGGUCCAUGUGUUCUCCAGGUGCAGAAGGUGAGAAACAUCUCGGCUCCUAAAGAUCAUGAAGAGUCCCAGGGCGCGCCACGAAUGCUGCGCCUACAAAUGACAGAUGGCCAUACCACCUGUGUUGGAUUGGAGUUUAAACAUCUGUCGAAGAUCAGCCUCAAUACCCCCCCUGGAACAAAGGUGAAGCUUCUUGGUACGGUCCAGGUUAAAAAUGGUCUUUUGCUGCUUGAUGACUCAAAAAUCUCCGUCCUUGGAGGAGAGGUUGAUCACAUGGUGGAAAAAUGGGAGCUACAAAGGAGUUUGGCCAAACACAGCAGGAGUAACAUUGGAGCAGAAGGCGGACCUCCCCCCUUUGUGCAGUUUGGUCAGAAGUGUGCGAGGAAAGAUGAAGUAGACAGCCGAGAGCUGGACCAGAGGAAGACGCUGCAGACUCACACCGCGGUUAAAAGCACCGAUGAGAACGACGAGUUUGAGAAGCAGCGGACAGCAGCGAUUGCAGAGGUGGCCAAGACCAAAGAGGGCCCCCGCACGUUUGGUGGUGGAGGAAAUGCAGGCAGUAAUUUAUCCAAUGCAGCCUCCUCUUCCCGGAGUCGAGACUCAUACCAGCAGAGGAGACGAGAAGACAGGGUCGAAAGAACAGAGAGCAGACAAGAUGGAAACUACAGGGAGCUGGUGGACGAACGUGCCCUGAGAGACAUCAUGGAGAUGGGCUUCAACAGGGAGGCCGCUCGACAGGCCCUGAUGGAUAAUAACAACAACCUUGAAGUGGCACUAAACAGCCUGCUGACCGGGUCCUCGGGUAGCGGGCCCGGCCCGAUGGCGGCUGAACCGAACAAGCCGCAACCCAGAGGCAGGGGGAAGGGAAGAGGGAGGUCCAGAAAUGAAGAUGAGGAUGAGGGAGCAGGAGGAAGGCCAUCAGGACCCAGCACUCUGUUUGAUUUUCUGGAAUCCAAGAUGGGAGUUUUCUCCAUCGAUGAGCCAAAAAACCAGGCGCCACAGAGACAUGAGAACAAAGGAGGUUUCUCCAACUCAGAUUAUUACACCAAAGACACAUCUCACACCAAGUUCUCCUCACACAACGACCACCGGCAGCCACGGAAUGACCGGCCGCCUCGCUUCAACAGAGACACUGAUUUUCCCAAACCUGGCCAGGAGCCUCUCUCGAACUCUCCAACCCCCCAAACAUCAGCUCAAGGCCCGCAGUGGAAGGGCCAGGACAGAUGGUCGCGGGGCCCAUCGGACAGACCCCAGAAUGAACGGAGAGAGACGCGAGACGAGCAGAUUUAUCCUCCUGCCUACAUGAAUACUUUCACUCAUUCAAAGGAUCCACAGCAGCAGCAGCAGCAGCUGGAGUUCAGUGGAUCUUCCCAGCAACGGUAUCGAAACGGAGAUGGUUCUGGGAAUAUGUCCGGGCCGCCUCAGAGGAGAGGUGGGAGGGACAACGUUCCAGCUCCUAAACUGCAUAAUUCUACAGGAAGCGAAAUGGACGCAAGAGGAAACAAUAAACGUAUGGACAGAAAUGACGACGCCAACAAUGGCAGGAGGAAGGGGAAAUUCGACCGGCCAAAUUCGGAUUAUUUUGACCGACAAAGGGAUGGUGGACCUCCAAACUUUAAUGUGAGAGGAGGAGGAGGUGCAGGAGGCAGCUCAGGGAUCGUUCAAGACGUGGGGUUACCACAGGAUCCUCGAAUAAUGGCGGGAGACCCCGCUCUUUUUCAAAAUGGAAUCAUAGAACAUAAAAGAACUGGGCCGAUCAAGCCUAUGAACUCAUCUUGUCCGCCGAACAGGGAGCCACCUAACAAGAAAAACGCCCCGAAUAACCCGGGAUCCAAAAGAAGGGCGGGUCAAGGCAAAGGUCAGGGUCCUCGAGGAGCCGAGAGAAGUCACGCUGUGGAGCAUGCGUGGAAGCCAGGCGACCAGUGUCUGGCACUGUACUGGGAAGACAGCAAGUUCUACCAUGCCAGAAUAGACGCUGUGCAUCCGUCGGGCACCACGGCGGUGGUUGUAUUUAGCGACUAUGGAAACUGUGAAGAAGUCCUCCUGCACAACAUCAAGCCCCUCCCCGCCGACGCCAUGUAACACAUCCCAACCAUAUCAAAUGUGCGAUGGCAGGAGGAAGAUGAUGGUUACUAUGACGGUUCACUUGAGUUUCGACGUGGGGGAGACGGACAACCGAGACGCACAAGACCCACGCAGCAGUAUUACCAGCCACCCAGGGCACGAGAUUAACGUGUCUGAGUUUACACUGGCAGGUAAAUCGAUCGUGUUUGUCCCACAUCCUUCCACUUUCCGCGAGAAUCCAGAGUGCUUCCUGAAUUUUUAAGCGUUCACAUCGUCAGGACAUCCGAACUUUUCAAAGGGCUUGCACCUCAUACACAAUUAAAGGAACGACCGACACAAGCUCCUCUGUUUAUUUUGUGAAGAACGUACCGACUGUACAUGUUGUGAUUUGAAAAAAUGGAUGCGUUAAAAUAAACAACUAUUAGUAUGUAGCA